RNAcentral lists this unclassified non-coding RNA (236 nucleotides) under fungal sp. RNAcentral's name for it is "partial internal transcribed spacer region". The stretch from base 1 to 46 matches the Rfam family "Eukaryotic small subunit ribosomal RNA", at positions 1786 to 1831 of the family's 1831-position model. The record is from RNAcentral. Lineage: Eukaryota; Fungi.
AAGUCGUAACAAGGUAACCGUAGGUGAACCUGCGGUUGGAUCAUUAUUGAUUUUGUUAAAUAAUAACCAAAAGUUUAACAGUGUUUGGUGUAAAAACCAUUCGCAUACACCUGUGAACUGUGACUGUUUCUGGGUCCUAAUGCUCUCGAGCGAUAGGGCCCGACAUAUUAACUAUAUACUAAUGUCUGAAUAAAUUUAAAUAAAAACAACUUUUGACAACGGAUCUCUUGGCUCUC